AUACGGAGGAUGCAAGCGUUAUCCGGAUUUAUUGGGUUUAAAGGGUGCGUAGGCGGAUGAUUAAGCGUGAGGUGAAAUGCCACUGCUCGACAGUGGAACUGCCUCGCGAACUGGUUGUCUUGAAUGCUCCCGCCGUGGGAGGAAUGUGUGGUGUAGCGGUGAAAUGCAUGGAGAUCACACAGAACGCCGAUUGCUAAGGCAUCCCCCGAAGCGGGGAUAGUCGCUGUGGCCCGUACGCGUGGCAAUAAAAAAGGAUUAGAUUCCGUGGUCGUCGUUGAGGUAAACGCUGACACAUCUCCGUUGUCUCGCAGUGAUUCAGUGGCCAAGCCACAGUAAUUAGGGAGCCCCCUGGGGAGUAAGACAGCAAGGUGGAAACUGAAACGAAUUGAUGGGG
Molecule: ribosomal RNA, 394 nt
Filed under: uncultured bacterium
Lineage: Bacteria
Description: partial 16S ribosomal RNA
Rfam family: Bacterial small subunit ribosomal RNA
Source: RNAcentral